The submitters of this non-coding RNA (59 nucleotides) gave its source as unclassified sequences. The record is from Rfam.
GUCGAAAGGGCACCUAGGGGUGCGGCGGCCAAAAGGUAGGCCGACGGCAUAGGAGAAAG